Molecule: ribosomal RNA, 451 nt
Filed under: uncultured bacterium
Lineage: Bacteria
Description: bacterial SSU rRNA
Rfam family: Bacterial small subunit ribosomal RNA
Source: RNAcentral
UACGGAAGGCAGCAGUGGGGAAUAUUGCACAAUGGGCGCAAGCCUGAUGCAGCCAUGCCGCGUGUAUGAAGAAGGCCUUCGGGUUGUAAAGUACUUUCAGUCGUGAGGAAGGUGUUAAGGUUAAUAACCUUAGCAAUUGACGUUAGCGACAGAAGAAGCACCGGCUAACUCCGUGCCAGCAGCCGCGGUAAUACGGAGGGUGCGAGCGUUAAUCGGAAUUACUGGGCGUAAAGGGCACGCAGGCGGUUAAUUAAGUUGGAUGUGAAAUCCCCGGGCUAACCUGGGAAUGGCAUUCAAGACUGGUUAGCUAGAGUCUUGUAGAGGGGGUAGAAUUCCAUGUGUAGCGGUGAAAUGCGUAGAGAUGUGGAGGAAUACCGGUGGCGAAGGCGGCCCCUGGACAAAGACUGACGCUCAUGUGCGAAAGCGUGGGGAGCAAACAGGAUUAGAUACC